This 624-nucleotide ribosomal RNA is filed under the name uncultured bacterium. RNAcentral describes it as "bacterial SSU rRNA". It matches the Rfam family "Bacterial small subunit ribosomal RNA", at positions 142 to 764 of the family's 1533-position model. The record is from RNAcentral.
GAUAACCUUGCGAAAGUAAGACUAAUACCCAAUGACGUCUCUAGAAGACAUCUGAAAGAGAUUAAAGAUUUAUCGGUGAUGGAUGGGGAUGCGUCUGAUUAGCUUGUUGGCGGGGUAACGGCCCACCAAGGCGACGAUCAGUAGGGGUUCUGAGAGGAAGGUCCCCCACAUUGGAACUGAGACACGGUCCAAACUCCUACGGGAGGCAGCAGUGAGGAAUAUUGGUCAAUGGGCGAGAGCCUGAACCAGCCAAGUAGCGUGCAGGAUGACGGCCCUAUGGGUUGUAAACUGCUUUUAUAAGGGAAUAAAGUGAGUCUCGUGAGGCUUUUUGCAUGUACCUUAUGAAUAAGGACCGGCUAAUUCCGUGCCAGCAGCCGCGGUAAUACGGAAGGUCCGGGCGUUAUCCGGAUUUAUUGGGUUUAAAGGGAGCGUAGGCCGGAGAUUAAGCGUGUUGUGAAAUGUAGACGCUCAACGUCUGCACUGCAGCGCGAACUGGUUUCCUUGAGUACGCACAAAGUGGGCGGAAUUCGUGGUGUAGCGGUGAAAUGCUUAGAUAUCACGAAGAACUCCGAUUGCGAAGGCAGCUCACUGGAGCGCAACUGACGCUGAAGCUCGAAAGUGCGG